AUGAAUUUGUUUGAACGAGACUUGCAGGUGUUCUCUUGGAAAACUUCAAAACUCAACAGGGCUGCGAGACAGGAGCAUUCUGCAAAUUUCAGCUGCUUCACUAGCUUCUCCUGUUUGUUGCUGAACCGAUUAUCCUGUUCUGCACUUGUUCCGCGGAAGAAUCCCGAGUCCCAUCUUCUGCCUCGCUCGGACCUGAUAUUUGUUCUUUAUUCUCCUAAAGCGGUUAAUGAAAAAUUCACUCCCAGAAGUGAACGACUUUUACCUAGUUUGGGGCCUGUGCUCCUGAUAGAAUAUGAGGAGGACUAG
RNAcentral lists this long non-coding RNA (306 nucleotides) under Canis lupus familiaris (dog). RNAcentral describes it as "lncRNA (ENSCAFG00040003414.1)". Lineage: Eukaryota; Metazoa; Chordata; Mammalia; Carnivora; Canidae. The record is from RNAcentral.